CAGCCGCCGCGGGAAUACGAAGGGGGCUAGCGUUGUUCGGAAUUACUGGGCGUAAAGCGCACGUAGGCGGAUCGAUCAGUCAGGGGUGAAAUCCCAGGGCUCAACCCUGGAACUGCCUUUGAUACUGUCGAUCUGGAGUAUGGAAGAGGUGAGUGGAAUUCCGAGUGUAGAGGUGAAAUUCGUAGAUAUUCGGAGGAACACCAGUGGCGAAGGCGGCUCACUGGUCCAUUACUGACGCUGAGGUGCGAAAGCGUGGGGAGCAAACAGGAUUAGAUACCCGCGUAGUCCCUGUCUCUUAUAC
Molecule: ribosomal RNA, 301 nt
Filed under: uncultured bacterium
Lineage: Bacteria
Description: partial 16S ribosomal RNA
Rfam family: Bacterial small subunit ribosomal RNA
Source: RNAcentral